ACGCUGGCGGCGUGCCUAACACAUGCAAGUCGAGCGAGGAGAUUCCCUUCGGGGAUGAACCUAGCGGCGGACGGGUGAGUAACACGUGGGCAACCUGCCUUAUAGAGGGGAAUAGCCUUCCGAAAGGAAGAUUAAUACCGCAUAACAUUACAUUUUCGCAUGAAGAAGUAAUUAAAGGAGCAAUCCGCUAUAAGAUGGGCCCGCGGCGCAUUAGCUAGUUGGUGAGGUAACGGCUCACCAAGGCGACGAUGCGUAGCCGACCUGAGAGGGUGAUCGGCCACAUUGGGACUGAGACACGGCCCAGACUCCUACGGGAGGCAGCAGUGGGGAAUAUUGCACAAUGGGGGAAACCCUGAUGCCAGCAACGCCGCGUGAGUGAUGAAGGUCUUCGGAUCGUAAAGCUCUGUCUUCAGGGACGAUAAUGACGGUACCUGAGGAGGAAGCCACGGCUAACUACGUGCCAGCCGCGGC
Molecule: ribosomal RNA, 471 nt
Filed under: uncultured bacterium
Lineage: Bacteria
Description: bacterial SSU rRNA
Rfam family: Bacterial small subunit ribosomal RNA
Source: RNAcentral